This 246-nucleotide ribosomal RNA is filed under the name Triticum aestivum (bread wheat). Its description in RNAcentral is "partial small subunit ribosomal RNA". The record is from RNAcentral. Lineage: Eukaryota; Viridiplantae; Streptophyta; Magnoliopsida; Poales; Poaceae.
AUGCUGUUUUGCUUUUCAGAAACCCAAGGCAAGAGUCUCCUGGAGAUGCAGAGUCCCAGGAAGGUUGGGCGGGUGACGGGUGGUGCCGGAGCAAGCGGCGGCGGCAGGAACACCGGUGGCGGAGCCACAGACACGAGGCCACACAACGGCAAGAACGUCGCCAUGGCGCUGCCAGCUCCAGCGACCUCCGUCCUGGUGCUGGUUUUCACCACCACCACCAUUCUUCUCUCGACGCUCAGCUUCUGA